AUUCCCUCAGUAAUGGCGAAUGAAGAGGGAAGAGCUCAGCUUGGAAAUUGGGGCCCUUGGGCCUUGAAUUGUAGUCUCGAGAUGCACUGCCAACGGAGGCGCAGAUGUGAGCCUCUUGGAAAAGAGCAUCGGUGAAGGUGAGAGUCCUGUCUGUCAUCUGUAGUCCCCCAUGUAUGGCGUGCCUUCUCAGAGUCACGUUCCUCGGAAUUGGAGCGCAAAGUGGGUGGUAAAUUUCAUCUCAAGCUAAAUACAAGUUCGAGACCGAUAGCAAACAAGUACCAUGAGGGAAAGGUGAAAAGGACUUUGAAAAGAGAGUUAGAAGUGCCUGAAAUUGCUGAAAGGGAAGCGAAUGGUACCAGCACUGCUUAGCAGGAUUGUCGUGCGCUAAGGUAAUGGCUUGCUGAGUCAGCGCAAGUGUGGCAGCGAGUUCUGAUCGGGACGCGCGCGGUGUUUCUUGCUCUGCGUGUCAACGCCAGUUUGUGACCGAGGAAAACUCCAGAGAUGUGGUAGCUUGUCUUCGGGUGGGCGAGCAUGCCUGGCUGAACUCGUUUGUGAACUGAAUCACCGGUGUCUGAUUGCAGCGCAGUGUCCGCGGCUCUCCUCCGUGCAGCGUUGUCCGCGCGGGGGACUAUCCGUGGCCACUUGUGCACUUCUGACGCUCGGCGCAGACCAAAUGGUCCCAUUCGACCCGUCUUGAAACACGGACCAAGGAGUCUGACAUGUGUGCGAGUUCACGGGCAGGUAAACCUGCGUGCGCAAUGAAAGUGACUGCCUGGGAUUUCUGCACCAGCAACCGACCGAUCAAUUGAGAGAGGUUUGAGUGUGAGCAUAUGUGUUAGGACCCGAAAGAUGGUGAACUAUGCCUGAGCAGGGUAAACUCAGGGGAAACUCUGAUGGAGGCUCGUAGCGAUACUGACGUGCAAAUCGUUCGUCAUACUUGGGUAUA
Molecule: ribosomal RNA, 946 nt
Filed under: Prorocentrum cf. norrisianum
Lineage: Eukaryota; Dinophyceae; Prorocentrales; Prorocentraceae
Description: eukaryotic LSU rRNA
Rfam family: Eukaryotic large subunit ribosomal RNA
Source: RNAcentral